CAGUAGCGGCGAGCGAACGGGGAGCAGCCCAGAGCCUGAAUCAGUGUGUGUGUUAGUGGAAGCGUCUGGAAAGGCGCGCGAUACAGGGUGACAGCCCCGUACACAAAAAUGCACAUGCUGUGAGCUCGAUGAGUAGGGCGGGACACGUGGUAUCCUGUCUGAAUAUGGGGGGACCAUCCUCCAAGGCUAAAUACUCCUGACUGACCGAUAGUGAACCAGUACCGUGAGGGAAAGGCGAAAAGAACCCCGGCGAGGGGAGUGAAAAAGAACCUGAAACCGUGUACGUACAAGCAGUGGGAGCACGCUUAGGCGUGUGACUGCGUACCUUUUGUAUAAUGGGUCAGCGACUUAUAUUCUGUAGCAAGGUUAACCGAAUAGGGGAGCCGAAGGGAAACCGAGUCUUAACUGGGCGUUAAGUUGCAGGGUAUAGACCCGAAACCCGGUGAUCUAGCCAUGGGCAGGUUGAAGGUUGGGUAACACUAACUGGAGGACCGAACCGACUAAUGUUGAAAAAUUAGCGGAUGACUUGUGGCUGGGGGUGAAAGGCCAAUCAAACCGGGAGAUAGCUGGUUCUCCCCGAAAGCUAUUUAGGUAGCGCCUCGUGAAUUCAUCUCCGGGGGUAGAGCACUGUUUCGGCAAGGGGGUCAUCCCGACUUACCAACCCGAUGCAAACUGCGAAUACCGGAGAAUGUUAUCACGGGAGACACACGGCGGGUGCUAACGUCCGUCGUGAAGAGGGAAACAACCCAGACCGCCAGCUAAGGUCCCAAAGUCAUGGUUAAGUGGGAAACGAUGUGGGAAGGCCCAGACAGCCAGGAUGUUGGCUUAGAAGCAGCCAUCAUUUAAAGAAAGCGUAAUAGCUCACUGGUCGAGUCGGCCUGCGCGGAAGAUGUAACGGGGCUAAACCAUGCACCGAAGCUGCGGCAGCGACGCUUAUGCGUUGUUGGGUAGGGGAGCGUUCUGUAAGCCUGUGAAGGUGUACUGUGAGGUAUGCUGGAGGUAUCAGAAGUGCGAAUGCUGACAUAAGUAACGAUAAAGCGGGUGAAAAGCCCGCUCGCCGGAAGACCAAGGGUUCCUGUCCAACGUUAAUCGGGGCAGGGUGAGUCGACCCCUAAGGCGAGGCCGAAAGGCGUAGUCGAUGGGAAACAGGUUAAUAUUCCUGUACUUGGUGUUACUGCGAAGGGGGGACGGAGAAGGCUAUGUUGGCCGGGCGACGGUUGUCCCGGUUUAAGCGUGUAGGCUGGUUUUCCAGGCAAAUCCGGAAAAUCAAGGCUGAGGCGUGAUGACGAGGCACUACGGUGCUGAAGCAACAAAUGCCCUGCUUCCAGGAAAAGCCUCUAAGCAUCAGGUAACAUCAAAUCGUACCCCAAACCGACACAGGUGGUCAGGUAGAGAAUACCAAGGCGCUUGAGAGAACUCGGGUGAAGGAACUAGGCAAAAUGGUGCCGUAACUUCGGGAGAAGGCACGCUGAUAUGUAGGUGAAGCGACUUGCUCGUGGAGCUGAAAUCAGUCGAAGAUACCAGCUGGCUGCAACUGUUUAUUAAAAACACAGCACUGUGCAAACACGAAAGUGGACGUAUACGGUGUGACGCCUGCCCGGUGCCGGAAGGUUAAUUGAUGGGGUCAGCGCAAGCGAAGCUCUUGAUCGAAGCCCCGGUAAACGGCGGCCGUAACUAUAACGGUCCUAAGGUAGCGAAAUUCCUUGUCGGGUAAGUUCCGACCUGCACGAAUGGCGUAAUGAUGGCCAGGCUGUCUCCACCCGAGACUCAGUGAAAUUGAACUCGCUGUGAAGAUGCAGUGUACCCGCGGCAAGACGGAAAGACCCCGUGAACCUUUACUAUAGCUUGACACUGAACAUUGAGCCUUGAUGUGUAGGAUAGGUGGGAGGCUUGGAAGUGUGGACGCCAGUCUGCAUGGAGCCGACCUUGAAAUACCACCCUUUAAUGUUUGAUGUUCUAACGUUGACCCGUAAUCCGGGUUGCGGACAGUGUCUGGUGGGUAGUUUGACUGGGGCGGUCUCCUCCUAAAGAGUAACGGAGGAGCACGAAGGUUGGCUAAUCCUGGUCGGACAUCAGGAGGUUAGUGCAAUGGCAUAAGCCAGCUUGACUGCGAGCGUGACGGCGCGAGCAGGUGCGAAAGCAGGUCAUAGUGAUCCGGUGGUUCUGAAUGGAAGGGCCAUCGCUCAACGGAUAAAAGGUACUCCGGGGAUAACAGGCUGAUACCGCCCAAGAGUUCAUAUCGACGGCGGUGUUUGGCACCUCGAUGUCGGCUCAUCACAUCCUGGGGCUGAAGUAGGUCCCAAGGGUAUGGCUGUUCGCCAUUUAAAGUGGUACGCGAGCUGGGUUUAGAACGUCGUGAGACAGUUCGGUCCCUAUCUGCCGUGGGCGCUGGAGAACUGAGGGGGGCUGCUCCUAGUACGAGAGGACCGGAGUGGACGCAUCACUGGUGUUCGGGUUGUCAUGCCAAUGGCACUGCCCGGUAGCUAAAUGCGGAAGAGAUAAGUGCUGAAAGCAUCUAAGCACGAAACUUGCCCCGAGAUGAGUUCUCCCUGAGACUUUAAGUCUCCUGAAGGAACGUUGAAGACGACGACGUUGAUAGGCCGGGUGUGUAAGCGCAGCGAUGCGUUGAGCUAACCGGUACUAAUGAACCGUGAGGCUUAACCUU
RNAcentral lists this ribosomal RNA (2665 nucleotides) under Escherichia coli. RNAcentral describes it as "partial 23S ribosomal RNA". It matches the Rfam family "Bacterial large subunit ribosomal RNA". The record is from RNAcentral. Lineage: Bacteria; Pseudomonadati; Pseudomonadota; Gammaproteobacteria; Enterobacterales; Enterobacteriaceae.